Molecule: non-coding RNA, 220 nt
Organism: Pelobates cultripes (western spadefoot toad)
Lineage: Eukaryota; Metazoa; Chordata; Amphibia; Anura; Pelobatidae
Source: the annotation of a GenBank genome assembly
GUGAGGGAAGGGGUGACUAGUGACAGAGUGAGGGGAUGACUGGUGACAGAGUGAGGGAGGUGGUGACUAGGGACAGAGUGAGGGAGGUGGUGACUGUCACUAGUCACCACCUCCCUCACUCUGUCCCUAGUCACUCCUCCCUCUGUCACUAGUCACCCCCUUCCUCACUGUCACUAGUCACCCCCUCCCUCUCUGUCUCACUAGUCACACCCUCCCUCAC